Molecule: ribosomal RNA, 400 nt
Filed under: uncultured bacterium
Lineage: Bacteria
Description: bacterial SSU rRNA
Rfam family: Bacterial small subunit ribosomal RNA
Source: RNAcentral
UAAGGAAUAUUGGUCAAUGGGCGGAAGCCUGAACCAGCCAUGCCGCGUGCAGGAAGACGGCCUUAUGGGUUGUAAACUGCUUUUGUCAGGGAAUAAACCCUCGUUCGUGAACGAGGCUGAAGGUACCUGAAGAAUAAGCAUCGGCUAACUCCGUGCCAGCAGCCGCGGUAAUACGGAGGAUGCGAGCGUUAUCCGGAUUCAUUGGGUUUAAAGGGUGCGCAGGCGGGCGUAUAAGUCAGGGGUGAAAUGCCACGGCUCAACCGUGGAACUGCCUUUGAUACUGUAUGUCUUGAGUUUAGUUGAAGUGGGCGGAAUGUAGCAUGUAGCGGUGAAAUGCAUAGAGAUGCUACAGAACACCGAUAGCGAAGGCAGCUCACUAAGUUAAAACUGACGCUCAUGC